CUUAUCGUGAGUUAAGUACUGAAGGAAGCGUGUAUCAAAGUCUUGGCUCGAGGAAUAGAAAUCUGAUACCAAGGCUCUAUAGGUGGAUAAGGCUCCAAAACAAGUCAAAGUCCUAAAGAUGUGCGUAAUCCUAUAGAGUAAAUCGGGCGAGUAAAAGAGGAAAGAUAGUUGU
Batrachochytrium dendrobatidis JAM81 is the source of this 172-nucleotide non-coding RNA. NCBI's taxonomy places the organism in Eukaryota, Fungi, Chytridiomycota, Chytridiomycetes, Rhizophydiales. The record is from Rfam.